Molecule: long non-coding RNA, 214 nt
Filed under: Lathyrus oleraceus (garden pea)
Lineage: Eukaryota; Viridiplantae; Streptophyta; Magnoliopsida; Fabales; Fabaceae
Description: Pisum sativum (pea) long non-coding RNA (PSAT_LNC028885)
Source: RNAcentral
AACCACCAUCUUCUCCGAUCAGUCAAACAGAAUCCGACCAGAAUUGCAGGAAAACAAAUCUUAUCAAAAAUGAAAAACAAGGGCAUGGAAAUGAAGCUCAUGUGAUGUAGAUCAUCACUGUACCAAUAGAUUCUUUUCAUUCUUCCUAUAUUGAGAGAAAGACGAAGGAGAAAAUCAUGGUAUCCACACAGAAUGCUCUUGAAAUGGAAAAUUG